AAAAAAACACGACUCCUCUCUCUCUCUCGAUUGAUCAAAGAAGCUGAUGAACAAACGCCGAUUUCGUGAGAUUCCGAUGAGUCUAUGCCGGAAUUGUGGUAUGUGAGACUUACCUACCGCCGGAAUCAUCAACGGGAUAGACGGUUAAGACCAUCGGCGAAUGGAGUCAAAACGAAUCGAAGAUUGGCGAUGGAGAAGAAGGAUUCGUUGAAGGAUGGUCCAAUUUCUUGUUCCAGCAAGAUCAGUUUCAUACUCUUCCUCGCCGACAAUGAUCCCACCACCGGUCAAAGCUGGUGUCCAGGUCUCUAUGACUCUCUUAGGGGUUUCUCAAUUUUCGUCCAAUUUCGAUCGAUUUCAUCUUCUCGAUCGAUUCAAUGGUUUUGAUUGGUGAAUCAGACUGUGUUAGAGUUGAACCUGUGAUUUACAAGACUCUAGAGGAAUUUCUAGAGGAGGGGAAUCUUAUUCGUGCUUAAGCCGGUGACAGACCGGCGUGGAGAACUCCGACGCAUUCGUGGAGAGUUGAUUCUCGGUUUAAGCUCAUCGGAGUGCCAACUCUUGUUCGUUGGGAUGGUGACUCUGUUAAGGGACGGCUUGAGGAUCAUCAAGCUCACCUGAUUCUGCCCCUUCUUGCGCCAGCCACUUGAUUCGAUCGAUUUCUCGAGACUAUGUUCUAUGUUUUAGAGACUAUGGUGGGAUUGAGGAUUUCUUUGUGUUGUUUUCCAAUAAGUCAUCAUUCAUCUGCUGGGAAUUGCUUUCAUCUCUGCUUAACAACUCUCUUAAUCUAGAAACUCUCAUCAUCAAGUUAUUAUACAAAAGCAGUUAUAUGUUGGAGGUCGGGGACGUUUCCAACUUUCCAUUGUGUGAUGGGAGUCAUGUGAAGCACAACAAAGCUAAUAAUGGAGAUAACGUUGGUCAUCUUCUUCUCAAUAACUAAAUCAUUUGUGUCUCACUUACAAGAUUGGCGCCAAGGCUCGCUCUCACAUUGGCUGCUCAAGAAACACUAGCUAAGUUGGUUAGAGUGAGAAGCAAGAUAUGAAACUACACUCAUACGUUUCUCCUGGUUAUUAUUUCCACAUUACUACUCUAAACUCAGUUUUGUUGAAGACAUCAAAUCAUGUAAUGGGUACUUUAAACCUUUUUAAAACAAUCUUAUUCCUAUGUACAUUACCAUCUUCCUUAUUGAUCAUAGUCUCAUUUUAAUUGA
Arabidopsis lyrata subsp. lyrata is the source of this 1204-nucleotide long non-coding RNA. RefSeq lists it as uncharacterized. Lineage: Eukaryota; Viridiplantae; Streptophyta; Magnoliopsida; Brassicales; Brassicaceae. The record is from RefSeq and is a predicted model, not a curated record. The transcript has 3 exons.